Molecule: long non-coding RNA, 5654 nt
Filed under: Sus scrofa (pig)
Lineage: Eukaryota; Metazoa; Chordata; Mammalia; Artiodactyla; Suidae
Description: lncRNA (ENSSSCG00050063743.1)
Source: RNAcentral
GCAGAUGAGAAACCCUUAGAAGAGAGGGGUUGGGCUGGGAGGAAAAGAAAGAAAAGAUGUGAGCCCUUCUUUGAAGCUGAGAAUGAAUUUCAACAUCUUUUCAUAGCUCAUCCUCCAAGAAUUUUCUCCACAACAAGCCACAUGUGUUGCCUACUAUAUUUCCAGAGGGCAACAGGAGAAUGAAGAUUUAAUCUGAGCUGAGUUAAAUUGGUUUUCAGCUCCAAGUCCAGGAUAUACAAAGCAAAAAGAAAACCCAAGACACUUACCACCACACUGGUCCUUGGCUUCCAAGUUCUAGUUGUUUCCACAUCUUGGCUCUUGUGCAUAAUGCUGCUAUGAACAUGGAGAUACAGAUAUCCCUUCAAAAAGCAAAAACACCCCUGUCUAAAUGCGCCGGCCCAGUGCCUGUCAAGAGAUCCUUAUGGGAGGCCGCCGGCGUCCCAGAAGACCGCCGCAUGACUCAAGACUCGAAAGGUUCCCGAGUUCAAGCUACUCUGGACGCCGCGGCUGCUUCGCGCUCGUCGCCGGGCCGCGCAGCCGCCACCCUGAUGUCCCCACCCGCGGGUCCGCGCGCCCCGCGCGCCCGCUGAGGGGGAGGGGCGCGCUCGGCCGAGGUCGCCGCCCGGUUGUGCAAUCCGGCUAUGCAAAUAAGCGGGGUUACGACAGCCAAUUAGAAGCCGGCUCUGCCGUGACGCGCGCGCCGAGAGCCCGUAGUAUUUAUAGAUCGUAUUUAAAGAGCCCUUGGGAGUCUCCCCGGGCUCGGCUGGGCGGCGGCGGCGGCUGCAGGGCUGUAGUUGGCCGGGCGCGAGUGAGGUGGCGGGGCGGUCGCUGCUGGUACCGUCCCUGUGGGGGUGUUGGGCGUGGAGGAGUGUCAGAGCACGUUCUAUAGUAGUUUUUACCCACUUCCUAGCUCGGUUUCUGGAGAGGAGGAGGAAAUGGUGCAGUUUCCACAGUAGUUUCGCUUCAAACAAAGCCGGGGAUUUGGAAUCUCAAAGCUCAAGGUGGGGGAUGGGGGCAGCAGGUUGAACCGACCCCGCCCGGGCCCCUCAUUUGAGCCACAAACCGCCGCCGUUUCCUGGUGCUGAGCUGUGUAGAGGCACCCUUCCUGGGGGGAGGGGAGAACAAUACCGCCUGAAAAGCCAAAAGUCGCGGAAUUUGGGGGCGGGGUGUAUUCGUAGAAAAUAAAUUACGAGAUAGUGGCCCUGAUUAUCUUGGCGUUGAGUCGACUGAUCUUCAGACUUCCCGGCCAGCGAGCUGCACACUGCAAUGCGAAAGCAGGAAACUGGCAUUACGUCAGAAGAGAGGAGACCCAAAUUGCAACGGUUGCAUCUGCAGGCCUGGCUCUUUUUCCUUGGAGAGGUUCCGGGGUCCGGGCCCAGGGUGCUGCCCGAGCCAGGCGUCGCGGGCUUUCACGCCGAGGGCCCACCCCUGGCGGCACCCGGGGACCCCAGGCCCGGGCGCCUAUAGCCCUAGCCCUCAGCCUCUGCACGUUGUCCUCCCCGGAGGGCUCUUCAGCAACCACGACUAAUUCCUUUUAAAGAUAGCCCCGCGCCUAGCUGGAUGUCUUAAAUUCCCGGGGAGGGGUAGAGGGCGGGGUGUUGACUACUGCCCUUAGUUGAGCAGGAGCUCAUGUCCACCUCGGGAAAGCAGGUGGCAAAGGGGAGGAAUCCCAGCCUAGUGUAGAACAGGACGAGUUAUCCCCACCUGGUCAAGGAUCUCAACCUUGAGGGGCGUGGUCACAGGAAACUUGUUUUCUGCCAGGGACCCUGCUCCUGAGGCUUUGCCACUGCUUCUUAGUAAACCGCUUGAGGAUGGACCGCCGUGAAGCAGGAGGAUAUCGUGAAUUAGUACAUUCUGUCUCUUGGAAAACUUUGAAGAGUUUGACUCUAGCCUCACCUGCUCCCUCACUCCCUGGCUCAGGGUCAUUACAAGGUAACUUAAGUAACCUGUUCUAGGCUCCUGGCCCACUCCACCUGGGAGCCAAGCUUAGCACAAAAAAGGUGGCCACAGUAGCUAAUGAUUAUUGUUCUGUGCUGGGUGCUGAGCGUUUUGGCAGACUAUCUCGUUUAAUUAUCACCAUAACUGCAUGAGGUGAGUACUGUUAUUCCCAUUUUGCAGAUAAGGAAACAGAUAAGAAGAAUCAGUUGUUUCCCUGUGGAUGGGAACCAGGCAAUCUGAGGGCAAAGCCCGCACUUUCUGUGCAGGGUGGGGAGCUGACUUUGAUCAGGGGACCUUCCAGGUUCACCUCACCUCACCAAGAAGGCCUUCAUUGGUCCCUGCUGUUUGUCAAACUCAGUAAACCUAGUCCUGCUUAAACAUGGUGUUGGGUGGCCUGUUUAAUCCCCUGGAGUAAGAGACUGCUCCAGAACACCCAAAUUAUCUAAGCCAGUUUUCUCAUUGCUCUGUAUUUGCAGCAGUAUCUUAUGAAGUUGUUUAAUGAUUAACUUUAUAAAGCACUUGAUUCCUAGUGCAAGCCAUUGGAUAAUGUCAGAUCCUGUUUAACCCAUUAAACAUAUAGGGAAGCUAAAGAACCAGCUGAGUUAUCAUGUAAGUUAGGAGUGGGGCUGGGUUCAGAAAUAGCUGAUAGCCUAAUUCAAGGUCAGUGAGUCCUGUCUUUGCUUUUCCCUUUGGUUGCCUUAUCCAGCAUCAUCGUCAUCUAGACAGGAGAGACAGCCAGGGAAGAGAACCUGUGGUUUUAGAUGAUUGUCUGUGAUUAAUGUCUAGGAAGAGAAUUUCAGAGGAGGAAAAGUUAAGAGGGAGAAGGUUAUGUUUGUUUAUACAAUUACAGUUUCAUAUCUUAGAAACAAGUGAUUUGAAAGCCAGGAAUCCGAUAGAGGUUGAAGGCCAGUUCUGCCCCCUCCCAGGUGGAAGACCUUAGACCACCUGUGGAAUAUGAGACCCCAUUGCCCCAUCUGUAAAAUGGAAGUAACCUGCUACCCAUCUCCUGAAGCCUUGCUCCUGGCAGUCUCCUCCGCUGCCUCCUCUUCCUCCUCUAGUCUUUUACAUGCUGGUGCUUCUCAAAGUUCCCUCUUAGGUCCAGUCUCUUCUCACCUAACACUCUCCUGGAUGAUCUUACCCAGGUCAUGUCCCCUGUUACCAUUUGAAGUCUUUCUUGCCCAGGUCUCUUUCCUGAGCUCCAGAUCUAUAUGCACAACAUGCCCACUUGGAUGCCUCAGACUUAAAUGUUCCAAACUGAACUACUGGUUAUCUCUCUCCCAGCCACUUGUGAAAGGUUGGCCCUCCUGCUGCACAUCCCCACCCAGUUAUUCAUGCCAAAGCCUGGCUAAUCCCUUUCCCUUAAAUAUAUCUUAUAUUUAUAAAUAUUUAUAUCUUACAGCACUUAAUAUAUCCAAUUAAUGGCAGACUCCUACCGUGGGCCCAGCUGUUAGCUGCCUUAUGUUUACUGACCCCUAAAACCUUCUCUACCUUGCAGACAUAUCCCCUCCAUCAGCCCCCAUUGCCUGCAAAAUGAAGCAUGGCUCCAGCUACAAAGCUUUAGCCACUCAAGACUGGGCCCAGACCUUGGUCUCUAGCUACUCCCCUCGCUUGCACUCUUUCAGCCAUUCUUAAAUUCUUUCAGUUCUUCUAAGGGUGCCAAAUUCUUUUGUUGUUUCUCUGAGUGUUAGCAGAGGCUAUUCUGAGAAUGCUGCCAUAUCAUGUCACCUCAUCCCCAUGUCCCUUCUUCUGACUGAAAGCUCAUGCUACUCUUUCAGUUCUCACUCUGUGUCACUUCCUCCAGAGAGCUCUUUGACCUCCACUCAUCUCCACAGAAGGUGCUCCUCCAGCUUACUCAGAGAAAUGUGCUUUCCUCAUCACCACACCAGUACACUGUAGGCUGGGUGUCUUUUUGCUUGGCUGAAUCUAUGUUCUUAUUCAUGGAGAGGGGGACCACAUCUGAAUCAUUCGGGAUGCUUUGUCAACCUGCACCUCAGAACCCCAUCCUCCCCUCAUGUUCCCAUGAAUGUGUCAUAAAAAUCAGGACACAGAGAACCCGUGGUGCCAGUGAUGUGCUUUAUCCCUCAGGUGUGUUAGGGUGGAAAACCGCUGCACUUGACAGGCAAUUCUCCAAGGAGGGGAUCAUUAUGUCCCUCAUUCCUGGCCCAGUGUGAGGCACAGCAUGGAAGACAUUCAGGAAGCACUUGUGUGCUUGAUGGGGAAUGUGAGGAUUAGAUCAGAUAUGUAUAUGAAGUCCCCAGGACAUACCAGGCAUUGGGGAAAUCUGGACUGUCUUUCCCUCUGCUUGCUAAAAUGGAGCUUAGGAGUUGCCAUGUGAUGCUUCGUGCCUGCCCUUCUUGUCACCCUUUAUCCCCUGUGAGUGAAAGUGAAAGAUAAUUACAUUAGGUCCCUAGAGCCCUGCCACUUCACUAUAGCUGUUUUAAAAUGAACCAGGAGUUUCCUGGUGGCCUAGCAGUUAAGGAUUCAGCAUUGUCACUGCUUUGGCUCUGGUUCAGUCCCUGGCCCAGGAACUUCCACAUUCCGUGGGUGUGGCCAAAUGAAACAAAAAACAAACCAAGAACACUUUAUGAAACCUGGGCCUGAUUUCUAACUGACACCUUUAGAAGCAAACCAUCUCAUACGUAUUGUUCCUCUGUUGGUCUGUGUUUUGUUUUUGUUUUGUUUUGUUAUUGUAAAGGAGAGCUAUGUCUCCUAAAAUUCUUUUUUGGGGGAAAGCCAUCUUCAGAAAAGGAACUUUAUAUUCAGAUUGUCUUUGAAGACAUGGGACUGAAGCUUAGGAGGAGUCAGGACCAGAGGUAGAUGUAAAUUGGGGGCAGACGAGAGCCAUGGCUCUUUCCUGAGUCUGGGCAGGGCUCUGCUGGCUGAUGGAUGGCUGCAAGGCAUUAGUAGCCAGGGAGAGUUUUGCCCAAAAGAAAACAAGAUGCAACUGGCAUUGGAGUCAGGUCUGCGUUUGAGUUUGGCUACAAGGCCUUCAUCAACAGUACAGCUUCUCUGGGUCUGUCCUUGGCUUCCUCCUUGGUAAAGUAGGACCCCACUGGUUCUAAUAGAAACAGUGUGCAGUGUUAUAUAAGAAGUAAAUGUAAAUAUAAAGUCUUAUUAAUAUACUAUCUAAUUAUAAAUAUAGAAGUCAACACACAUUUAUUGUACAUCAUGUGGUUAGGUGAUAGGGCACAAAGAUGAAUGAAAGAGGAAAGGAAUUUUUGUUUAUUGAUCCUUCCAACUUCAGUUCCAAGUAUUUUCUGGCCAUUAUCUCUUCUCUCUUCUAAUAGCACCAAGAUUCUGCCCUCAGGAGGCUCAUAUUCAGAAAGAUGACACAGAGACAUAUUAAAAUUCAUAUAAGCAACUGUGAUUAUGCCAAAUUGUCACAUGGGAACACAUGAUGGAGCUGUUCAUCUGCUAGUCUCUCAGAGCUGAGGGGGAAAGGCGAGGGAGAAAUAAAGAUAUAAUAGCAUUGGAGUUCCUGUCAUGGUGCAGUGGAAACAAAUCCCAUUAGGAACCAUGAGGCUGCAGAUCCCUGGCCUCGCUCACUGGGUUAAGGAUCUGGCAUUGCCAUGAGCUGUGGUGUAGGUCACAGAUGCGGUUCGGAUCUGGUGUUGCUGUGACUGUGGUGUAGGCCGGUGGCUACAGCUCCAAUUAGACCCCUAGCCUGGGAACCUCCAUAUGCUGCAGGUGUGGCCCUAAAAGACCAAAAAAAAAAA